GCCGGGUGCGGUGGCUCACACCUGUAAUCCCAGCACUUUGGGAGGCUGAGGUGGGAGGAGCACUUGAACCCAGGAGUUCCAGGCUGCAACGAGCUAUGAUCGUGCCACUGCACUCUGGCCUGGAUGACAGAGUGAGAUCCUGUCUUUU
This 148-nucleotide non-coding RNA is filed under the name Homo sapiens (human). The record is from Rfam by way of RNAcentral. Lineage: Eukaryota; Metazoa; Chordata; Mammalia; Primates; Hominidae.